AUAGUCUCAAAUAGCAAUGAGUAGCAACAACUGGUGUGUACAUUAGUACAUGCCUUAAAAUUAUUGGUACAAACUCUAUUUGGAGAAAAAUAUACAUUGAAGAGCUGUUUUGAAGUGAAUCUUAAUCAGUAAAAUUACAAUUUAGUAUAGUAGCUUCAACUGAGAUAGCAAUAGUCACAAUUCACACAGUUCAAAAUAAUUUGCCAUGAGGCAUCUGUACUUGUGAAACUUGCUGUGGUUUGGGUUGGUAGCUCUUGAAACUCAUAGCCAGAUCUGUACUGCACCUGUGAAACCAGCUGUGGUUUAGGUUGGUUGCUCUCCUGAUUCAUGGCCAGACUUCCUCGUCAAUGCAUCAUUACUUUCAAAUUUCACAGUGUCACUCUCCUAGGUUCUGCAUCACCUUGAUUUUUAACUGGUAGAAAAUAACAGAGAGGUUGGAUUUACAGUAUCAGUAUUAUCCAAGGUUAUCGAGUACAGGAAAGAGAACCCUCAUGUAACACAUAAGCAGAAAAAUCUAGGAAUCUUUCUGAAAUAGAAGGGCAGAGAAAAGGUUGGUAUUUUACUCCAUGAGUGAGUAUGCUUGCAGAUCUCGCUAUGAUACAUCUGAGAUGGAAUUCUUUUGAGGAAGGUGUAUUAACUGGUUAGAAAACUUCAGUGAAGUUAGCAGUUGCCUUCUUGCAUUUGACAUGAUUAAAACUCAUGAACAGUAAUUCUAGAUAAUAAGUAAGAACUGGGAUACGUAAUAGAUUUAUUUCUCAGUGUGUGCAGGGGUGGGGGUUGCCAUGGUGUGCAUGUAGAGGUGAAAGGAUAAUUAGGCAGUGAUUCUGAGACUGAACUCAGGUCUUCCUACCUUACAGUGAGUGGAUUUAUCAGUGAGUAUUUUUACAGACCAUAUCUCUGUUUUGCUGUUGUUGUUUUUGUCAUCCUCAUUUUUACUUCCUCAGUAAACAGAUACGAUGAAAGACAUACCCAAGUUUAACAAAUGCAUGGCUUAGCCUGAGCCAAGAAAGUGUCUAUUUAAAUAUUCCUAGGCCUAGGCAUGGAAAAUUCUAGUAGGUACAAAAUGUAGUCUUCCACAGGCUUGGAUCUGGAAGGCUUCAGUUAUAGCCUUUCUCUGUUAACUUAUGUCUAGAAAUUUUUAGCCUCUGAGAUUUACUGUGGAAUAAACUAACUCUCUGUGAUCUCUGGCUGGCUGGUUCAAGCUCAUCUGUUGUGGCUCAAACUCCUCUCCAAGCUGACUUAACUCAAAUUAGUUUCUCUCUGCUUCUGACUGUAUUGCUCUGCUUGGAAGAACUGCCUCUGAAUGCCACAAACUCUACUACAUGGAUUGUAUGAAUGGGACAGAUCUGAAACUGAACAAAACUGCUGGAAUUCAACUGAGCUGAACUGUACUCAACUGAACUGCAAGGAACUGAAGUGAACUCUCCCUUCGCUGCUCUUAGUGUGAAGAUAUCGUUCCAGUUAGAUUAUCACCAGAAAGUGAAAUGCCACUCAGUUUUGUUCAUAAAGGAAUAGGUGACCCUCACAGACAUACCUCUGAACACUAAGGUAUCCCCUUAUGUUGGGGCAAUUCCACAGUGACAGAAACUGAUACUAUCCCCUACAAAUAUGGAAGCAUGAGAGACUAUUUCACAAGAACCAUUCAACAGUCAACCAAGCAGAACUCUGGAGCUAGUAGGAAGAAUCAAGAAGGAGAAAGUGACCAUAAGUGAUGCUGUACUGCCACAAGAGAUCUGAUGUCUCCGCACUGCACUUGCAGCACAGUUUGUAAACAUCCACUCUCUUACCUUCUGAUUGGCUUUAAUAACAACCUAGUAAACACAGAAGUGGAUGCUCACAGUCAACUAUUGGAUGGAUCACAGGACCCCCAAUGGAGGAGCUAGAGAAAGUAUCCAAGGAGCUGAAGGGAUCUGCAACCCUAUAGGUGGAACAACAUUAUGAACUAACCAGUACCCCGGAGCUCUUGACUAUAGCUGCAUAUGUAUCAAAAGAUGGCCUAGUCGGCCAUCAAUGGAAAGAGAGGCCCAUUGGUCAGGCAAACUUUAUAUGCCCCAGUACAGGGGAAAGCCAGGGCCAAAAAAUGGAAAUGGGUGGGUAGGGGAGUGGGGAGUGAGGGUGAGGGGGACUUUUGGGAUAGCAUUGGAAAUGUAAUUGAGGAAAAUACGUAAUAAAAAAAUCAAAAAACAAAACAAAACAAAACAAAAAAACAAAACAACCUGGUACCCUGAAGCAGAGCAAGUGAGGAUAGACAGGACUUAUGGAGAGAGAUUGAAUUGUAGGAUAGAGUCAGGUUGGGAGAACUUUCACCAGCUUGACAUGGAGGGAAAGGCAGACCCUGGUACUAGAGACUGAGAGGUCCCAAGCCUUGUGGCUGAACUUAGAAUAGAUUAAUGAGUUAAUAAGUUACAAGGUAAUUGGAAAGAAGCCUAGUUAUAAGGCUUAGGCAUUCAUAAAUAAAUAUGUCUCUUUGUCAGUAUUCAGAGCUGGGGCAGGCAUAGAAAGGCUUUAGGGUUACAGAGUUCAGUGUCAAGAAACUUUUUGUUUGACUCUUAGUUAUAAAACUGAAAUAUAUUGCUUCAGUGAGUAUAUUAUUUUGCCUUUAGCAAAUUUAUGCAUGUAAACGCCUUGGUUUUUAUAAAAAUGAAAUGAUAUGAAAUUCUUGUUUGCUUAAAGCUAGUAUGCUUAUUGAGUGGCUUAUAGUAUGUCACUGCUCAAUAAUCACCAUAUAAUAUGAUUAUGCACAGAAUUUUAUUACUUUAUGGCCAAGUACCGAGACAAUACUUUGGCUAAUCCAUAGCUGGCAGCAAAGCAACUAUUGCCAACAGUGUAUGAUGAUCUAUGCUUUUCAUGUUUAUCUUUGUUGAGAUAAAACAUGAAGUAAUACCAAAGUACUUAUCAAAACAUGAAAACUCAAAACAUCUUUGCUUAAGAACGAUUAAUUUAAUUUUUUUCAUGAUCAAAAUAAACCAGCUUUGGAGAACCAUAGAUAGCCCCUGAGUUAGCUGCUCAUGAUCAUGCCAACCACUGUAAUUUGAACUUGUAUGUUAUAUGAGGAAAUGUGUAUUUUUUAAGUGAAGGUUGAGAAUAACCAAAUAGAGAAUGCAGUGAAGUGUGUUAAUUAUUACAGUCCAUGCAUAAGUAUACAAAGAAUGUAAACAAUUUUGCAGUGAAAGAAACUGAGAUGUGAAACUAAAUGUACAAGGCACUGUUGUUAAAACAACUGAGACUUAAAAACAAAAUCAUACAGGGUCAAUAAAGCUAAGAAAUGUUGCUGCUUUUAUAACCCAACACAGCUUUCAAAUACAUGCCAAUAAGGGCUGUUUUGUCGCUGUUAAAUAGGUGAUUAAGAUAUCUCAAUCUAUGGAACUAAUGAGCAAGAAAUGAAGUUUUAAAAAGGUUCACCCUGAGAUGUAGUAGUAUGGGCACCAGCUGUUUAAAGCCGAUAAAGGAACUGAAGAAUCUGAUAUUCCUUCUAUAGCCACUACUGGCAGAAAGGCCAAAGGCUUCUAAGAGAAAUCUCUAUCUAGUACAAUGUAUGCUUUUAGUAUACAUUAGCAUAUAUGACAAUGUGCUUACAGUCAUCUAACUGAGUAGCACAUUUUCCACGUGUGACAAUUUGCAUGCUUAAUAAGACAAGGAAUUUUAUACUAUAGGUCCCUAGAAGGCAUAUCCACUAUUCAGUCUCCAUCUUUACUCCAAGUUGGGUAACAGUAAAUAUUUUUCAUUUUCUUCAAUCCAUUUAACUUUUUGAUGAUUUAAAUGUGUUCAUAUUAAUUAAAAUGAUAAAAAGACAUAUAUAUUGUUUUGCUUGCUUUGCAUGAAUAAUAACAUGGUAUAUAAAAUGUAUGUGGAUUGUUUUUUGGUAUUUUUUUUUAUGAGACAGAGUUUUUCUGAGGAAAUUUUGCUGCACUUGAAAAUAUUGAUACAGACCAUGCUGGCCUAGAAAUCACAGUGAUCUCCCUGAGUCUAUAUUUACAGGGGUUAUGGAUAUAUGCCAUUCCUGCUGUGUUUUUAAUAAGUCAUUGCUAUGUCAUAGGCUGGGCUGAAAUUUCCAAUUGCGUCCUAGUAGGAUAACAGGAAUAUGCCAUCAUACACAUCUAUAAAUAUAAUUUUUACCUCUAUAUAGAUAAAUAUUAAUAAAAUAAUUUCAUCUGAUUUCUAUAAGUGUUUUUUUUUAAGUAAAUAGUCUUAAUAUGAACUGUUUCUCAUGUGAACAGCCUAAGAAUAUACUUAUAGAUAGUGGGUACUUUUCCAUUAAGAACAGAUAAACAUAUGAUUUUAUUUCUGGAGAUUAUGUCAUUUUAAAAUAUGAAAUGUCAUAAGCACUAAGAGAAUGACAGUUCAUUUUGAGAUUAAAAUUAUGAAUUCCUAGAAAUAUCAGGCGUUUGUAUUUGUUUGUUCUUAUGGGCUAGAAAUUCAUGGGUAUGGAAUGUUCUCUUCCUUUGAGGGUUGAAAAGUGUACUAGUCAUAACAGAUAAGAGAUAGGUAAAAUGGCAUGUAAUAGCUACGUUUGGAAAAUAAGUAUAAUAUAAAAAUAUUUUAUCUUCUAUAGUUAACAACAUCUAAUUAUCAUGAGCCACAUAUAAGAGAGUAUUCAUAAUCCCUCACUGCUCACAUUGUGAGGAACUGUAGAAAAUAUUUUUAAUUGAAAGAUAUGAUUAAAACCUUGCAAUUUUCAGGAGGUUUUUAUUUAAGAGUGUUAACCUUUUUGGCAAAAGGAUAUUCUGAGUCAAUAAGUUAGAACUUCUGUUUUGAUUGAGUUCCAGGUCAUGACAUUGUAUCAAUGUUUAACAACAUCUGUGUAUGAGGCCACACGUUCAAAUUUCAUUUUAUCCUUUUUAAAUAGCUUUUUUAAAAAUAAUUCUAACCUUGCUUAUAUAACCUUUAAAGAAUUGAAGUGACAGAUGGCUUUAUUGCAGCCUUUUGUGUGUGUGUGGAGAAGCAGCACGUAUGUCCACCCACCCUUAGAAAGGGAACCAAUACUCACAACAGUUCAAUGUAAUAUUGCAAUAAAGUCCAACUAUAUGAACCAAUAACAGCGGGAGUGUGGGAGAGUUCAGUUACAAGGCGAAGGUAAAGUGAGCAGCAGCUGCUUCAUGGUAAAAAAAACCAAACAAACAAACAAACAAAAAACCAAAAACUUCAUCUUGGGAGCUGCAAAACUAGAGCUUUUUGUGUACUUCCAAGCAGCUCAACCUUUGACCUAUCCCCUUUGACCUUAGUUCAGCUGGUCAGGGUCUCCUUCCCCAGAAGCCUUGUUGUACAACUCAAGAAUCAUCCAGGUUUCUGUUCUUUUAGAUAUGUAGCUUUCUGUUGACCUCCUGAGACUCAUACACACUGCAUCCAUGUAACUGCAAAAUGGGAUUCAGAAAAUAAUUACUUUUCACUUAUGGCAUAUAUGAGAUGCGAAUAAUGUUUUAAGAAGGAAGUAAUAUGGAGUUUAUGAUAAUAAAUUAUAAAAAGAUUUUUAAGUUUCUGAGAAUAAAUUGUAAUUAGUACAGAAGUUUAAAAAUGAUUUACUCAGCUUGGAAGAUAAUUGGAUGAGGUGAAAGUAAAAUAAAUAUUUCAUUUUGAAGAAGUGAAGAAAAAUUAAAAGUUGUAAUUUGUUCUUCCUUCAUACAAUACAUCUCAACUGCAGUUUAUCCUCCUUGUACUCUUCUUCCCACUUCUUCUCCUGCCAGAUCUACUAUUCUGUCGUAUCUCUCCCAAAUAGACGGGACUUCUAGAGACAUCAACGAAAUCCAACAUAACAAGAUGCAGUAAGAUUAGGUACAAAUCUUUACAUAAAGGUGGGGAGAGACAACCUAGUAGGAGAAAAAGGAAACCAGUAACAGGCAAGAGAUUCAGAGACUCCCCAAAUCACACUGUCAGGAGUCUUCCAAAAACAUCAACCCAAUAACUAUACCAUAUAGGAACAGAAUCUAGCACAGGCCCAUGUAGACUCCACACUUGCCACUUGACUCUUCCUGAACUCUCUGAUACCUGCUUAGUUGAUUCUGUGUGACGUGUUCUGGUAUCCUCAACCCUUCUGGCUUCCCUAAUUUUUCCUCUUGCUCUUCUUGAGGUUCUCUGAGCUCCAAAUGUGGGGAGCCAAUGGUGACUUCCAGCCUAGAUGCUUUCCCUGCCUCCUAUUUGGCUGUAGGUCUCUGCAUCUGCUCCCUUAGCUGCCAGAGGCAGCCUCUCUGAUUGGGACUCUUCUAAGCACUCAUAUUUUGAAUCAGAAAUAACUAUGGAAAAACAUAAGACAACAAGUUAACCAUAUUUAUUUUAUAUUGUUUUCCUCAUAAAUCCUAUCCAUAGUAUGAGAGUAUUUUUGAGUUAGAAUUCCUUUUUAUGUUUUGUUUUGUUUUGUUUUGCUUUUUUGUUUUUUGGUUUUUUGGGUUUUUUUUGUUUUGUUUUGUUUUUUUCCAGACAGGGUUUCUCUGUGUAGCCCUGGCUGUCCUGGAACUCACUCUGUAGACCAGGCUGGCCUCUAACUCAGAAAUCCAUCUGCUUCUGCCUCCCAAAUGCUGGGAUUAAAGGUGUGCACCAGGACUGUCCGGCGCAUUAGAAUUCUUGAUCUACAUACAGGCUUAAGAGAAUUGCAUGGUCAUGUAGGUAUUUAAUGAACGAAUAUGUUUCAGUGUUUUGAGGCUAUUGAAAAGAUUCAGAUACUGAUUUUAGUUGGACUGUCAUCUACACUGGCAAGUUUCCAUCCUAAAGCCCAACGCCAUGCUCUGUUUUAUUCAUACACACACACACUCACAAGCCAGCAUGCUGUGUGUGUGUGUGUGUGUGUGUGUGUGUGUGUGUGUGUGUGUGUAUUUUCCCUCUCUCCUUGGUUAAAAAUGUAACAACUUCUUUUUCAAUCUAUCUCAAGUUUUCAAUCCAUCCAGGUUAUUCUCCACAAGCUAAGGGGCAAACAGAAUUUAGGAACCCUGGAUUUAAAAGGUCAAACAAACAAACCAAACCAUAAUACUGACAAUAUGGUAGGUAAAUUUCAUUGGUGGCUAAGUACAGGGCAAGAUCCAUGUGUUCCCAUCUAAGCUAAUUCCUGUCAACACCAAAUUCACACAUUUCCAUACUUGCCCCGAUCCAGAAACUUGUACGCUCCUGUCUUCAUGGGAAAUAGGAGAGCUUAACUCCUAGAAAAGGAGAGACAAACAGAGUUUUUGUCAUUUUGUUCAUUUUCUGUUUUGAAACUGUUGCCAUAGCAAUGCCAUUUCAUCUUAAAUAUGACAAUUAUUUUCGAGGCACGGAUCUUCUAGAUUGUACAAAUCUGGCCUUCUCCUCUUCUCCCCAUAACCUAUUUUAAAGAAUCAUCUUAUUCUCUGGUGUCUGGGUCUUAAAUGUAGGUUCAAAUUCCUUUUGUCAAGGUCUCUAGACUCUAUCUACGUCAAUCUCUCUCAUUCCUAUCUUUAACAUCACAUGCAUGUACCUUAUCAUCCUUUAUUGACUUCUACAUCUCUAGCAUUUUUAAUUAGCUUUCAAUAUUAAACCAUUAAUUAGCUUUCAAUAUUAAACCAUCUUAUUUUCUUAAGAUACAUAUAUUUUACCGAGUAACUGAUUUUAUAAUAUGUGAAAUUAGUUAAUCUGUUAGACUGUUGCUUAGUGACCUUGGAUAUUUUUUUAAAUAAUUGUACAUGGAGCUUUGGAUUAAGGGGCAUAGAAGCAUAAUUAUUAAUAUUGAACUUUUACUUAUUUGGAAAGACCUUCUCUUUUAAAGAUAGAAUGGAAGCUUGGCUCUUCAGCUAUAUUAAUCACACUGUGCAUUUCCAGCAGUAAAGAUUAGUUACAUCAUAGUUAUUUAAACUAUAUUAAUCCAACAUAUUUACAAAACAUUCAUAUUGCAUAUUUAACCUGCUUACUUACAAGUCAAUAUAAGUAAAUACAAUCUGAUGAUAAAUUUUGAUGAAAUGGAGUUUGAAACAUUUUAAUUAUGAGAAAUAUAAACACACAAUGCACACAUCUAUUAUUCUUAUUAAAAUUAUAUUUCCUGUCACACCAUUGAUUAUAAAUCUCAAGAAACUGCUGUCUCUAACACAAUUAAAAAUGAGGACUACUGAAGAUGAAUUUCAUAAUAGUUGAGAAAAGAAACACAGAGUCCCACACCUUGGGACAUAUACCUACUCAUGCUUCUGAGAGCACAAAGGGAAAGGAGAGGAGAGCCUGGAGCCUGGACACCAUCUGCUGUUCUGCUGUUAGUUUACAAAGCUUGUCUAUUCUUUAGCCUGCCCACCCCCCCCUUUCUCUUUCUCCUUUUCUUUUUUUUUCUUUUCUUCUUUUUUUUUUCUUUUUUUUAACCUCUACUGAGUUUUCUCCCAUUGGCCUUAUGAUAGUUGAGAUGUUGCAGUUUGAGAGUUAUGCUCUGAAAUCUCUGCCUUACGCUAUCCUGAGAAAUGAAUCUAUAGGAGAGGCUCAUUUCUCUUUGAUAAAGAUUCUCAUUUAUCUCAGAUGCAGAAAGAACUGACAUGCACACAUGACCUAGACUAAGCACACUAAAUGAAAAGUGAGGAAGAGUAGGUCUCUCCCCUUAUUUUUUGUUUUGUUUUGUUUUUGUUUAUUUUCUCCCCUUAUUUUUAAUAGUGAGCUUUUACUUUUUUUAUAUAUAUUUGUACCUUUGAAUCUUUAUGCCAUCAGUGUUAUAGUAGGUGGCUGAAAUAUUUGAGUAGAAAAAUUAAAUGAGUUACACAAGCCCAUUAUUUCUUAUUUGAGAAUUUUCAGGAAAGAAAUUGUGUGUUUAACAGUUAUCAUAUAAACAUUCAAUUAAGUAAAAAGAAGCUGAAUGAAUGGAAAUCUUUAUUUCAUUAUGUAGCAUAGUAUCUAAAGUCUAACUUGAAAGCAUCUAACCUUGGAGAAAUGGCAACGAAGGCCGUAAAAGGUUCAGAGAAUAUUCUUAAAGAAAAAUAACUAAAGCUCUCUUUUGGGAUUUGCAAAUAUCACAGUAUCUAACUUCAAAAUCCAAGUGGUCAGGACAUUAUAUUUUAAAAAUGACGAAUUAUUUAUAUGUAGCAUUGUGCUGUGUGGAAUGAUCUGCUCGGGGAAACUGAUUUAUGUAUUAUUAAAUUUUAGAGCUCUAAGAUGGAGAAAUUCAAGAAUAACUUUAGACUUUUCAUUUCUCAACUAGGCCUUAGGGGUAAUUGGACCAAUAAAAUAGAAGCUCUUAAUUUAUAUGAAGGAGUUUUAAGAACCAUUAAAAGCAGACUUGAUUUUUAAUGAAGCAGAUGCUUAGAAGUAUAAAGGAUGGGGAGAAUAUUAAGAAGUGUUUGAAGCCUGCUUGGUAAAAUGUGAAUAAAAAUGGUAUAGGAACCAUGAAGAGGAGCUCUUAGCUGUAGUAUCUACUCCACCUAUAGACCACUUGCCACAAUUAGGAUACUUUUCUGUACCUAAGAAGGACUAAUCCCAGUUAGUCCUUAGUACUCCUCUACAUUUUAUUCCCUGCUAAUGUUCCCAGCUACAUAAUUGAGGUUUGCUCAAAUGUUGACUCCUUAAUAAGGCCAUCACUGCCAUAGAAAUUGGCCUUUCUACUGAUCCAUAACCAUUGCUUGCUUUGUACUGCUAUAAGAGCAUCCGUUAUGACCUGCCAUCAUUCUAUUUUAAAAUUUAUGCCCUGAUUUCCAAUUACCAAAUAAUUUGCUUGACAUAAGUAAUUUAUGUACUUUUUGCACAGUGAGCCUGAGACAUACUGCACAAACAGGAGAUGGGAAGGAAAAAAUUGUAUUUAUAAUUUCAAUGGGUAAAUAGGCUUCUAAGUUCUCAUGUUGAAAAAGUAGAAUUCGACGUAGGAUAUUUAAAAAAGUAACAUUUAAUUCUUUUGUUUUGUUAAAUGUAGAAAAUAGACGUAUAAAACUUUGUUGGCUAUUUGUAUUUGGAUGCUAAGUUAAAUAUGUCCUCAGAAAAUAUUUGUUGGCUCUUGGUAGUUGUCUAAUAUUGCUAUACUACUAUACAUAAUUGUAUGAUAAUUGAUCAGUGUCCUAUAUUAUAAAAAUCAAAAUUCAAACUCAAAUUAUUAAUUAUUAAGCCCUGUCACAAUGCUACCAAGUAUCUAUUAUUAGACUGGAUAUUGUGCAUUUGUGUAUAACUUGAAAAAUUAUUGAAUUAGUUUGCCAUGUCUCUGGUUUUAUUGUAAAUACUUAGAUAAUGUUACAUUGUUACAUCAUUUAAAUAUUGCCAAACAAGUAAUGCCUACUUAAUAUAUAUGGCUAUUAUAAUGGAUGAGCAAACAACUUCAUAUUGAUAAAUUAAACAAAAUUGAAAAAAUAAAAAGAGACUAAUGUGAAAUGGAAAUUAC
This is a long non-coding RNA of Mus musculus (house mouse), 10270 nucleotides long. RefSeq annotates it as predicted gene, 48992. The record is from RefSeq and is a predicted model, not a curated record. Lineage: Eukaryota; Metazoa; Chordata; Mammalia; Rodentia; Muridae. The transcript has 4 exons.